RNAcentral lists this long non-coding RNA (246 nucleotides) under Glycine max (soybean). Its description in RNAcentral is "long non-coding RNA (GMAX_LNC003931)". Lineage: Eukaryota; Viridiplantae; Streptophyta; Magnoliopsida; Fabales; Fabaceae. The record is from RNAcentral.
CGAUGUACCGAUCUUCUCCUUAGGCUUGAGGUAAAAGAAGGCUGGCUUGUCGGCUAAGAAAGCUUACCUUAGAAUUGAACUAUCCUUUCUUCCAAUUGAAAAGGUACUAGCGAGACUUACUUAGACAACUAGCCUAGACUAGCCUUCUUUUAGAAUAGAAGGGGAACUAGGUUAGGUCUGGUUUGUUUAUCCUUGUCUUCUACUUUCUUUUCUAGAAUCUGAAGGAGGUGCCAGUCUUUGAGGUCU